AUAAACUCCACACUGUCCACAAUCUCUGGCGCGUGCUGGUCAGACUGGAAGGAGGCAGACGGAAGUUCAGCUGAGUCUGUAGCUGACGCUGUGAUCGUUUGCGCCGUUGAAGCAGAGGAGUGAAAUAUCUGCUGGACGCUCGUCUUUAAAAUGGAUGUCAAACGGAUAUUUCGACACGAGCUCUUUUUAACGUUUGUCCUCUGCUGUGUUAAUGGACAAACAUCAGAGCCGUUUUUUCUGGUGACAUUUCCUG
Molecule: long non-coding RNA, 253 nt
Organism: Triplophysa rosa
Lineage: Eukaryota; Metazoa; Chordata; Actinopteri; Cypriniformes; Nemacheilidae
Exons: 3
Source: RefSeq, a predicted model, not a curated record